RNAcentral lists this unclassified non-coding RNA (226 nucleotides) under uncultured Marasmiaceae. RNAcentral describes it as "sequence contains ITS1". The record is from RNAcentral. Lineage: Eukaryota; Fungi; Basidiomycota; Agaricomycetes; Agaricales.
UUGAAACAUUGUAGAGGGGAGCUGAGCUGGCCCUUCAAGGGCAAGUGCUUGCUUUCCUUUCAAUCUUCAUCCACCUGUGCACCUUUUGUAGAGAGUUCAAGAAAAGCUUGGGGCCUUUUAAGUCAGGUCUCAUAAGUAUUCGGCUCUUUAUGUCUUUAUACACACUGAAUGUAUGUCUUUGAAUGUCUUUUAAUAAGGGACUUGGUUGGACCUUUUAAAAACUAUA